GAUGAACGCUGGCGGCGUGCUUAACACAUGCAGGUCGAACGGAAAGGCCCAAGCUUGCUUGGGUACUCGAGUGGCGAACGGGUGAGUAACACGUGGGUGAUCUGCCCUGCACUUCGGGAUAAGCCUGGGAAACUGGGUCUAAUACCGGAUAGGACCACUUCUUGGAUGUUGUGGUGGAAAGUUUUUUGGGUGUGGGAUGAGCUCGCGGCCUAUCAGCUUGUUGGUGGGGUAAUGGCCUACCAAGGCGUCGACGGGUAGCCGGCCUGAGAGAGUGUACGGCGACAUUGGGACUGAGAGGCGGCCCAGACUCCUACGGGAGGCAGCAGUGGGGAAUAUUGCACAAUGGGCGCAAGCCUGAUGCAGCGACGCCGCGUGGGGGAUGACGGCCUUGGGGUUGUAAACACCUUUCGCUAGGGACGAAGCGUUUUGUGACGGUACCUGGAGAAGAAGCACCGGCUAACUACGUG
This 467-nucleotide ribosomal RNA is filed under the name uncultured bacterium. RNAcentral's name for it is "partial 16S ribosomal RNA". It matches the Rfam family "Bacterial small subunit ribosomal RNA", at positions 28 to 507 of the family's 1533-position model. The record is from RNAcentral.